This 478-nucleotide ribosomal RNA is filed under the name uncultured bacterium. Its description in RNAcentral is "partial 16S ribosomal RNA". It matches the Rfam family "Bacterial small subunit ribosomal RNA", at positions 28 to 507 of the family's 1533-position model. The record is from RNAcentral.
GAUGAACGCUGGCGGCGUGCUUAACACAUGCAAGUCGAACGAGAAGUGAAGACGGAAACCUUCGGGCGGAAGGCUUUAUUUCGAGUGGCGGACGGUGGAGUAACGCGUGGGUAAACUGCCUCAUACAGGGGGAUAACAGUUGGAAACGACUGUUAAUACUGCAUCAGAUCACAGCACCGCAUGGUGCGGUGGUAAAGACUCCGGUGGUAUGAGAUGGACCCGCGUACGAUUAGCCAGAUGUCGGGGGAACGGCCCCCCAAAGGGAGAAUCGGUAGCCGAGAAGAGAGAAAGGCCGGCCACAGUGAGACUAGGACGCGGCCCGAAAUCCUACGGGAUGCAGCAGUGGGGAAUAGUGCAAAAUGGGGGAAACCCUGAUGGAGCGACGCCGGGAGAGCGAAGAAGUAUUGCGGUAAGUAAAGCGCAAUCAGCAGGGAAGAAAAUGACGGUACCUAAGUAAAAAGCCCCGGCUAACUACGUG